RNAcentral lists this ribosomal RNA (429 nucleotides) under Actinomycetes bacterium. RNAcentral describes it as "Actinobacteria bacterium partial 16S ribosomal RNA". It matches the Rfam family "Bacterial small subunit ribosomal RNA", at positions 355 to 776 of the family's 1533-position model. The record is from RNAcentral. Lineage: Bacteria; Bacillati; Actinomycetota; Actinomycetes.
UAGGGAAUCUUCCGCAAUGGGCGAAAGCCUGACGGAGCAACGCCGCGUGAGUGAUGAAGGCCUUCGGAUUGUAAAACUCUUUCAUUAGGGAAGAACAAAUGUGUAAGUAACUAUGCACGUCUUGACGGUACCUAACCAGAAAGCCACGGCUAACGACGUGCCAGCAGCCGCGGUAAUACGUAGGUGGCAAGCGUUAUCCGGAAUUAUUGGGCGUAAGGCGCGCGCAGGCGGUUUUUUAAGUCUGUUGUGAAAGCCCCCGGCUCAACCGUGGAGGGUCAUUGGAACCUGGGCGACUUGAGUGCAGAAGAGGAGAGUGGAAUUCCAUGUGUAGCGGUGAAAUGCGCAGAGAUAUGGAGGAACACCAGUGGCGAAGGCGACUUUCUGGUCUGUCACUGACGCUGAUGUGCGAAAGCGUGGGGAUCAAACAGG